GCUGGGUGUGGUGGUACACACCUGUAAUCCCAGUAGCUCAGGAGGCUGAGGCAGGAGGAUCAUGAGUUCAAACCCAGACUUAGCAAAAGCGGAGUGCUAAGCAACUCAGUGAGACCCUGUCUCUA
RNAcentral lists this small RNA (125 nucleotides) under Marmota monax (woodchuck). Lineage: Eukaryota; Metazoa; Chordata; Mammalia; Rodentia; Sciuridae. The record is from RNAcentral.